GAAGCUUUUCAACAUGAUAAAUGAACUGCCUACAAUAUAUGAAGUAGUGACUGGUGCCUCAAAGAAACAACAGAAAGAAAAAUCUUCUGGCCAUAGUGGCAAGAAAUCCAAGUCAAAUUCCAAGGCGAGGGCACAAGACUAUCAGGAGAAGUUAGCAAAGUUGCAGGCUAAAGAUGAAGAGGAGGAGGGUUUGGAUGAGCAGGAGGACGAGGAUGAGCAUGGCGAGACACUGUGUGGUGCCUGUGGAG
RNAcentral lists this unclassified non-coding RNA (248 nucleotides) under Hevea brasiliensis (rubber tree). The record is from RNAcentral. Lineage: Eukaryota; Viridiplantae; Streptophyta; Magnoliopsida; Malpighiales; Euphorbiaceae.